This 492-nucleotide ribosomal RNA is filed under the name uncultured bacterium. RNAcentral's name for it is "partial 16S ribosomal RNA". It matches the Rfam family "Bacterial small subunit ribosomal RNA", at positions 29 to 507 of the family's 1533-position model. The record is from RNAcentral.
AGUGAACGCUGGCGGUAGGCCUAACACAUGCAAGUCGAACGGCAGCACAGUAAGAUCUUGCUCUUACGGGUGGCGAGUGGCGGACGGGUGAGGCAUACAUCGGAAUCUACUUUUUCGUGGGGGAUAACGUAGGGAAACUUACGCUAAUACCGCAUACGACCUACGGGUGAAAUCAGGGGAUCUUCGGACCUUUCGCGAUUGAAUGAGCUGAUGUCGGAUUAGCUAGUUGGCGGGGUAAAGGCCCACCAAGGCGACGAUCCGUAGCUGGUCUGAGAGGAUGAUCAGCCACACUGGAACUGAGACACGGUCCAGACUCCUACGGGAGGCAGCAGUGGGGAAUAUUGGACAAUGGGCGCAAGCCUGAUCCAGCCAUACCGCGUGGGUGAAGAAGGCCUUCGGGUUGUAAAGCCCUUUUGUUGGGAAAGAAAAGCAGCAGGUUAAUACCCCGCUGUUCUGACGGUACCCAAAGAAUAAGCACCGGCUAACUUCGUG